Molecule: non-coding RNA, 516 nt
Organism: Chroicocephalus ridibundus (black-headed gull)
Lineage: Eukaryota; Metazoa; Chordata; Aves; Charadriiformes; Laridae
Source: the annotation of a RefSeq genome assembly
CUGAUGGCGGCCGUGCAGCUGGUGGCGUCCGGAGGGGGCCUCCAGACACCCGGGGGGUCCCUCACCCUCCGCUGCAAGGCCUCCGGCUUCACCUUCAGCAGCUUCAGCAUGGGAUGGAUGCGACAGGCCCCCGGGAAGGGGCUCGAGUACGUCGCGAGUAUUAACAGCGAUGGUAGUUACACAAACUACGCGCCGUCGGUCAAGGGGCGCUUCACCAUCUCCAGGGACAACUCCCAGAGCACGCUCACGCUGCAGAUGAACAGCCUCCGGGACGACGACACGGCCACCUACUACUGCGCGAAAUGUGCUUACGGUGGUUGUGGUGCUGGUUAUGGUGGUGGCACCAGCCCCGGCACCGUGUCCCAACUUCCCUGUGUUGGGUCCCCUCAUCGACCAAUUUUGCCCCAGUCGACCAUUUUUGCCCCAAAUCUCAACCAUUAUCAUCAAACCCUGACCGAUUUCUCACCAGACCUCCAUGGUUUCACUCAACUCUUGACCGUUUGCCACAAACCUUGA